Molecule: ribosomal RNA, 202 nt
Filed under: Pseudoicichthys australis (southern driftfish)
Lineage: Eukaryota; Metazoa; Chordata; Actinopteri; Scombriformes; Centrolophidae
Description: partial 16S ribosomal RNA
Source: RNAcentral
UUUUAAAUGGAGACCUGUAUGAAUGGCAUUACGAGGGCUUAACUGUCUCCUUUUUCAAGUCAAUGAAAUUGAUCUCCCCGUGCAGAAGCGGGGAUAAUUCCAUAAGACGAGAAGACCCUAUGGAGCUUUAGACACCAAGGCAUAUCAUGUUACCUACCCCUAAACCCUGGGGAUUAAACCUAUUGAGCAAUGCCCCUAUGUC